UAUACCGUGAAACUGCGAAUGGCUCAUUAAAUCAGUUAUCGUUUAUUUGAUAGUACCUUACUACUUGGAUAACCGUGGUAAUUCUAGAGCUAAUACAUGCUAAAAACCCCAACUUCGGAAGGGGUGUAUUUAUUAGAUAAAAAACCAACGCCCUUCGGGGCUUCUUGGUGAUUCAUGAUAACUUUACGGAUCGCAUGGCCUUGCGCCGGCGACGGUUCAUUCAAAUUUCUGCCCUAUCAACUUUCGAUGGUAAGGUAUUGGCUUACCAUGGUUUCAACGGGUAACGGGGAAUUAGGGUUCGAUUCCGGAGAGGGAGCCUGAGAAACGGCUACCACAUCCAAGGAAGGCAGCAGGCGCGCAAAUUACCCAAUCCCGACACGGGGAGGUAGUGACAAUAAAUACUGAUACAGGGCUCUUUUGGGUCUUGUAAUUGGAAUGAGUACAAUUUAAACCUCUUAACGAGGAACAAUUGGAGGGCAAGUCUGGUGCCAGCAGCCGCGGUAAUUCCAGCUCCAAUAGCGUAUAUUAAAGUUGUUGCAGUUAAAAAGCUCGUAGUUGAAACUUGGGUCUGGCUGGCAGGUCCGCCUCACCGCGUGUACUUGUCCGGCCGGGCCUUCCUUCUGGAGAACCUCAUGCCCUUCACUGGGCGUGUUGGGGACCAGGACUUUUACUUUGAAAAAAUUAGAGUGUUCAAAGCAGGCCUUUGCUCGAAUACGUUAGCAUGGAAUAAUAGAAUAGGACGUGCGGUCCUAUUUUGUUGGUUUCUAGGACCGCCGUAAUGAUUAAUAGGGACAGUCGGGGGCAUCAGUAUUCAAUUGUCAGAGGUGAAAUUCUUGGAUUUAUUGAAGACUAACUACUGCGAAAGCAUUUGCCAAGGAUGUUUUCAUUAAUCAGUGAACGAAAGUUAGGGGAUCGAAGACGAUCAGAUACCGUCGUAGUCUUAACCGUAAACUAUGCCGACUAGGGAUCGGGCGAUGUUCUUUUUCUGACUCGCUCGGCACCUUACGAGAAAUCAAAGUU
This 1020-nucleotide ribosomal RNA is filed under the name Plenodomus biglobosus. Its description in RNAcentral is "SSU rRNA". It matches the Rfam family "Eukaryotic small subunit ribosomal RNA", at positions 75 to 1105 of the family's 1831-position model. The record is from RNAcentral. Lineage: Eukaryota; Fungi; Ascomycota; Dothideomycetes; Pleosporales; Leptosphaeriaceae.